Molecule: ribosomal RNA, 473 nt
Filed under: uncultured bacterium
Lineage: Bacteria
Description: partial 16S ribosomal RNA
Rfam family: Bacterial small subunit ribosomal RNA
Source: RNAcentral
UGGGGAAUUUUGGACAAUGGGCGAAAGCCUGAUCCAGCAAUGCCGCGUGUGUGAAGAAGGCCUUCGGGUUGUAAAGCACUUUUGUCCGGAAAGAAAUCCUCUGGGUUAAUACCUCGGGGGGAUGACGGUACCGGAAGAAUAAGCACCGGCUAACUACGUGCCAGCAGCCGCGGUAAUACGUAGGGUGCAAGCGUUAAUCGGAAUUACUGGGCGUAAAGCGUGCGCAGGCGGUUUUGUAAGACGGAUGUGAAAUCCCCGGGCUUAACCUGGGAACUGCAUUCGUGACUGCAAGGCUAGAGUAUGGCAGAGGGGGGUAGAAUUCCACGUGUGAGCAGUGAAAUGCGUAGAGAUGUGGAGGAAUACCGAUGGCGAAGGCAGCCCCCUGGGCCAAAUACUGACGCUCAUGCACGAAAAGCGUGGGGGAGCAAAACAGGAUUAGAUAACCCUGGUAGUCCACGCCCUAAAACGAUGUC